Molecule: ribosomal RNA, 486 nt
Filed under: uncultured bacterium
Lineage: Bacteria
Description: bacterial SSU rRNA
Rfam family: Bacterial small subunit ribosomal RNA
Source: RNAcentral
GACGAACGCUGGCGGCGUGCCUAACACAUGCAAGUCGAACGAAGCAUAGCAAUAUGCUUAGUGGCGGACGGGUGAGUAACGCGUGAACAAUCUGCCCUGUACAAAGGAAUAGCCUCGGGAAACCGGGAUUAAAACCGUAUGACACUUUAGUAUCGCAUGAUAAGAAAGUCAAAUCGAAUAGAGGUAUGGGAUGAGUUCGCGUCUGAUUAGCUGGUUGGCGGGGUAACGGCCCACCAAGGCGACGAUCAGUAGCCGGCCUGAGAGGGUGAACGGCCACACUGGAACUGAGACACGGUCCAGACUCCUACGGGAGGCAGCAGUGGGGAAUAAUUGCACAAUGGAGGGAACUCUGAUGCAGCGACGCCGCGUGAGUGAAGAAGGUCUUCGGAUCGUAAAACUCUGUCCUUGGUGAAGAAAAGGACGGUAGCCAAGGAGGAAGCCCCGGCUAACUACGUGCCCAGCAGCCGCGGUAAAACCGUAGACGUG